CCAGCUUGCUGGGUGGAUCAGUGGCGAACGGGUGAGUAACACGUGAGCAACCUGCCCCCUACUUCGGGAUAAGCCUUGGAAACGGGGUCUAAUACCGGAUAUGAACGUCUGCCGCAUGGUGGGUGUUGGAAAGUUUUUCGGUGGGGGAUGGGCUCGCGGCCUAUCAGCUUGUUGGUGGGGUAAUGGCCUACCAAGGCGUCGACGGGUAGCCGGCCUGAGAGGGCGACCGGCCACACUGGGACUGAGACACGGCCCAGACUCCUACGGGAGGCAGCAGUGGGGAAUAUUGCACAAUGGGCGAAAGCCUGAUGCAGCGACGCCACGUGAGGGAUGACGGCCUUCGGGUUGUAAACCUCUUUCAGCAGGGAAGAAGCGCAAGUGACGGUACCUGCAGAAGAAGCGCCGGCUAACUACGUGCCAGCAGCCGCGGUAAUACGUAGGGCGCAAGCGUUGUCCGGAAUUAUUGGGCGUAAAGAGCUCGUAGGUGGUCUGUCGCGUCUGGUGUGAAAUCCCAUGGCUCAACUGUGGGCUUGCAUCGGGUACGGGCAGACUAGAGUGCUGUAGGGGAGACUGGAAUUCCUGGUGUAGCGGUGGAAUGCGCAGAUAUCAGGAGGAACACCGAUGGCGAAGGCAGGUCUCUGGGCAGUUACUGACGCUGAGGAGCGAAAGCAUGGGGAGCGAACAGGAUUAGAUACCCUGGUAGUCCAUGCCGUAAACGUUGGGCACUAGGUGUGGGGCCAGUUCCACUGGUUCUGUGCCGUAGCUAACGCAUUAAGUGCCCCGCCUGGGGAGUACGGCCGCAAGGCUAAAACUCAAAGGAAUUGACGGGGGCCCGCACAAGCGGCGGAGCAUGCGGAUUAAUUCGAUGCAACGCGAAGAACCUUACCAAGGCUUGACAUGUACGAGAACGCCCCAGAGAUGGGGUUCUCUUUGGACACUCGUACACAGGUGGUGCAUGGUUGUCGUCAGCUCGUGUCGUGAGAUGUUGGGUUAAGUCCCGCAACGAGCGCAACCCUUAUCCUAUGUUGCCAGCGGGUUAUGCCGGGGACUCAUGGGAGACUGCCGGGGUCAACUCGGAGGAAGGUGGGGAUGACGUCAAAUCAUCAUGCCCCUUAUGUCUUGGGCUUCACGCAUGCUACAAUGGCCGGUACAGAGGGCUGCGAUACCGUGAGGUGGAGCGAAUCCCAAAAAGCCGGUCUCAGUUCGGAUCGGGGUCUGCAACUCGACCCCGUGAAGUCGGA
RNAcentral lists this ribosomal RNA (1241 nucleotides) under Promicromonospora xylanilytica. RNAcentral's name for it is "bacterial SSU rRNA". It matches the Rfam family "Bacterial small subunit ribosomal RNA", at positions 75 to 1330 of the family's 1533-position model. Lineage: Bacteria; Bacillati; Actinomycetota; Actinomycetes; Micrococcales; Promicromonosporaceae. The record is from RNAcentral.